Colobus angolensis palliatus is the source of this 95-nucleotide unclassified non-coding RNA. It matches the Rfam family "Y RNA". Rfam says of the family: Y RNAs are components of the Ro ribonucleoprotein particle (Ro RNP), in association with Ro60 and La proteins. NCBI's taxonomy places the organism in Eukaryota, Metazoa, Chordata, Mammalia, Primates, Cercopithecidae. The record is from Ensembl.
GGCUGGUCCGAUUGUAGUGGGUUACCAGACUUAGUAACAUUAAUAUCACUAAAGUUAGUAUACAGCUCCCCAUUGCUAAAUUAGACUGGCUGUAA